RNAcentral lists this non-coding RNA (777 nucleotides) under Isonychia sp. XL-2019. Its description in RNAcentral is "12S ribosomal RNA". It matches the Rfam family "Microsporidia small subunit ribosomal RNA". Lineage: Eukaryota; Metazoa; Arthropoda; Insecta; Ephemeroptera; Isonychiidae. The record is from RNAcentral.
GAAAAGUUUUAUUCUGGCUUUUAUACUUUUUAUAAGAUUAUUUUACAUGUAAAUUUUAGUGAUAGAAGGAAAGAUCUAAAAGAUCUGAUAUGCAUUAUUCGCAGUGUUUUAUAUUAGUUGUGAGGGUGACCUUGAACUAGUAAUUUGUAUAAUUCCGGCAAAAUUCGUGCCAGCCGCCGCGGUUACACGAAAGGAGUGGGGAAACAUUCUUGGUUAGCAGUUAAUUAUCUAAUUAUGGGGACACAUUUCAAUUUGUUAGGUGAAAUUUUAAAUUGUGGUAACACCCGAGGAUCAUUUAAUGAAGCUGUGAAAAUUAAAUUGGAGACUGGGAUUAGAUACCCCAUUAUUUUAAUCGUUGAAUAAGGGCCAGAGUAGUAAUAGUCAAGUUCUUGAAACUCAAAGAAUUUGGCGGUGUUUUAUUCCGUUCAGAGGAACCUGUUCCGUAAUCGAUACCCCACGUUUAAUUAACUUAGUCUGGUAAACAGCUUGUAUACCGCCGUCAGAAGAGUACACUAGGAGGUGAUAUUCAAGGAUUUAAAUGAAACAAGAUGUCAGGUCAAGGUGCAGUCAAUGACUAAGGGGAAAUGGGUUACAAUAGAAGGUCUAAACGGAUUCAGCAAUGCAAAAGCUGUUGAAGGUGGAUUUGGAAGUAAUAAAUUUAAAUUUGGAUUUUUGAUGGAGGCUCUAAAACAUGCACACAUCGCCCGUCGCUCUCAUUUGUUAAGGUGAGAUAAGUCGUAACAUAGUAGGCGUACCGGAAGGUGUGUCUAGUAAGUC